AAUGAACGUUGGCGGCGUGGAUUAGGCAUGCAAGUCGAGCGCUCAUAGCAAUAUGGGAGCGGCGAACGGCGUAGGAAUUCAUAGGAACGUACCCUCAGGUCGGGGAUAGCUACGGGAAACUGUAGGUAAUACCCGAUGAUCUCUGCGGAGCAAAGGUGUGAUUCCGCCUGAGGAGCGGCUUAUGUGAUAUUAGCUAGUUGGUGGGGUAAUGGCUUACCAAGGCGAAGAUGUCUAGGGGGUGUGAGAGCAUGGCCCCCACGACCGGAACUGAGAUACUGUCCGGACACCUACGGGUGGCUGCAGUCGAGAAUCUUCCGCAAUGGACGAAAGUCUGACGGAGCGACGCCGCGUGCGGGAUGAAGGCCCUUGGGUUGUAAACCGCUUUCGGAGGGGAUGAAAUCCUCGAGGGUACUCCCUCGAGGUUGACAGAGCCUCAAAAGAGCACGGGCUAAGUACGUG
This 459-nucleotide ribosomal RNA is filed under the name uncultured bacterium. RNAcentral describes it as "bacterial SSU rRNA". It matches the Rfam family "Bacterial small subunit ribosomal RNA", at positions 29 to 507 of the family's 1533-position model. The record is from RNAcentral.